Acanthochromis polyacanthus (spiny chromis) is the source of this 1208-nucleotide long non-coding RNA. RefSeq lists it as uncharacterized. The record is from RefSeq and is a predicted model, not a curated record. The transcript is spliced from 3 exons. Lineage: Eukaryota; Metazoa; Chordata; Actinopteri; Pomacentridae.
CCUCACGGAUACUGACACGUCACUUUCUUCAAGUGGCAAUGACCACGGCAGUGGAGUAGAAUCAGGGAUUCCCAUUGGCACACGUACAUCCAGCCCUGAAGUCACAACCAGGCCUCGCACAGAGGUUUCUGAGUCAGAGGCUGCAAAAGAGAUGGUAGAAAAUGCCUUGUUUUGCGAACCUUGGGGUGAGGAUGUCAUUGCAGAGUACAACACAGAAAAGUCACUCACUCACCGCACCCGGAGACGGCUUGUGAACAUUUUGGCUAGCCAUAUGACUGAAAGUCAUGGGUGAGUUUUAAGUGCAUUGUUAGAUUGUGAACAAUGUAUUAAGAAAUACAAUGAAUUUUAAAAAUACAUUACAUUGAAUUAAAGCCAGUGGAGCACUCUUCAAUUGUAUGGUUUGUAUUUUAAGAAUAUGAUCUUUACCUGUUCAUAUGAGCAGUAACAUGUUUUGGAGUUUGACGGUCAGUUGGGGUAUAAACUGAUGUGGAAUGUUGUUUCUUAAGGAGGAUGCCUUCCCGUAAACAUAAGGAGAAGUAUGCCCUGGGAAUGAUAACACUCUUUCCUUCACUAAAGGAUCCUUUUUCUCCAAAGGGCUAUGAGCACUUCUAUGAUGGGGAGAAAGGCACUGGAUAUUUAGCAUGGCGCCUGAAGACCAUGUCCAGGAAUACAGGAAAAAGACCAGCCAAGACAGCUACAGUGGCUCAAGCACAAGGCCCAAAGCGCAGAAGAUUGUCAACCACUUUGCCCGAGCAGCUUGAUGGAGAUGCCUGCAGAGAAGCCAUAUCAUUUCUCAUUCACUCUCGUGAUGAAACAAGUGUGUUUCAGAAGAUGAAGAUGACCUUUCAAUAUCGCCAAGACUUGCAUGACCCACACAGAACGACAGAUGUCUUUAAAACAUUUCCACAGUUUUUAGACGUCAAAGGGCUGGUGAGUUGCCCAGUUCAUUUAUUUACAGUUAACUUUUUUGUUUCUUGGAUGAAAGUACAAUACUCUAACCUUUUUGAAAUGUGUAUUUAUAUGCUUGCAUGAUCAACAGCUUAAUCAAGACUUCAGUCUGCUGUUUGGAGCUGAAACAACUUCCAAGAUGCUGGAGAAGUGGGACACAACUUUCAGGCCCGAGGUUAUCGAUGAGGCCAAACACCUGACUCAGUCAACUGAGCUGUGCCGACUUCUAAAAGCUGCUGAGAAACUGACCGAGAGUGAUG